RNAcentral lists this ribosomal RNA (1034 nucleotides) under Hypseloecus amyemopsis. RNAcentral describes it as "eukaryotic LSU rRNA". It matches the Rfam family "Eukaryotic large subunit ribosomal RNA", at positions 391 to 1125 of the family's 3401-position model. Lineage: Eukaryota; Metazoa; Arthropoda; Insecta; Hemiptera; Miridae. The record is from RNAcentral.
AAGAGUACGUGAAACCGCUCAGGGGUAAACGGAAAAGACCCGAAAUUUCCGAAGAGGGAGAUUCACGUCUUCUCGCGGUGCUUAGGCGUCUGUCCCUUUUGGACGGUUCUGCUCCCGUUCGCUUUGCGUGCGGUGGGUGGGAUCGCAAAGGGCGGCGUUGAGGCCCGCGGCGGACCGCACUUCUCCCUUAGUAGGACGUCGUGACCCGUCCGGCUAUGGUCUUACAGUCACGAGGUGGAGCCUGUUCUCGAGUGCCAUUGGUUCUCUUGAGCAGACCCUCGUGUCUCGGCCAUGGAUAUUAACUUACCGGUCGGUAUCAAAUGACAGCGUUCGGCCGCUUUUCGGGGGAGGAAACUCCUUCCGGCGAGCGCGGUUCGAUCCGGUUGGCAAGGUGCUGGGAUGUUCAGUCAGAGCGGGCUUACGUCCGCCCGGCUGCUCCCUGCCCUGUUGGCUCUGGAUCCUCCCGUUUGGCCUAUUUGCGCUCGUCUACGGCGAACCAGUUUUGGGCUCUUGUCCGACCCGUCUUGAAACACGGACCAAGGAGUUCAGCGUGCACGCGAGUCAUUGGGUGAUGAAACCUAAAGGCGAAAUGAAAGUGAAGGGAACCUUCGUUUCUGAGGGAGGAUGAGACGGUUUCCCGCAAGGGGCUUCUCCGCACUCCCGGGGCGUCUCUUUCUCAUUGCGAGUGGAGGCGCACCCAGAGCGUACACGCUGAUACCCGAAAGAUGGUGAACUAUGCCUGGCCAGGACGAAGCCAGGGGAAACCCUGGUGGAGGUCCGCAGCGAUUCUGACGUGCAAAUCGAUCGUCGGAGCUGGGUAUAGGGGCGAAAGACCAAUCGAACCAUCUAGUAGCUGGUUCCCUCCGAAGUUUCCCUCAGGAUAGCUUGCGCUCAUGGGAACGAGUCUCAUCCGGUAGAGCGAAUGAUUAGAGGCCUUGGGGUCGAAACGACCUCAACCUAUUCUCAAACUCCAAAUAGAUGAGAACUCCGGCUUCCUUGAAAAAUGAAGCCGGGGGCUUGGAUCAGAGUGCCAA